GAUGAACGCUGGCGGCGUGCCUAAUACAUGCAAGUCGAGCGAACAGACGAGGAGCUUGCUCCUUUGACGUUAGCGGCGGACGGGUGAGUAACACGUAGGUAACCUACCUAUAAGACUGGGAUAACUUCGGGAAACCGGAGCUAAUACCGGAUAAUAUUUCGAACCGCAUGGUUCGAUAGUGAAAGAUGGCUUUGCUAUCACUUAUAGAUGGACCUGCGCCGUAUUAGCUAGUUGGUAAGGUAACGGCUUACCAAGGCAACGAUACGUAGCCGACCUGAGAGGGUGAUCGGCCACACUGGAACUGAGACACGGUCCAGACUCCUACGGGAGGCAGCAGUAGGGAAUCUUCCGCAAUGGGCGAAAGCCUGACGGAGCGACGCCGCGUGAGUGAUGAAGGUCUUCGGAUCGUAAAACUCUGUUAUUAGGGAAGAACAAACGUGUAAGUAACUGUGCACGUCUUGACGGUACCUAAUCAGAAAGCCACGGCUAACUACGUG
RNAcentral lists this ribosomal RNA (497 nucleotides) under uncultured bacterium. RNAcentral describes it as "partial 16S ribosomal RNA". It matches the Rfam family "Bacterial small subunit ribosomal RNA", at positions 28 to 507 of the family's 1533-position model. The record is from RNAcentral.